ACCAUUAUUGUACAUGCUGAUCUCUGCUGCUACUGCUGGACCUCUGUUGAUUGUAGCUGUGGUUGGGAUGUUCUGGAUCUACAAGAAAUGUAUAAAAACAGUCGAAACCCAGGAGGAAGACAGAACUGAUCCAGCAUUGUAUAAACCAACAACACGACGAAAGAAAUCAAAGACGGAGCCCGUGUAUGAAAAUGUCCCCAAAAAACAAUGAUCAAACAUUGUAUCUAGUGGAAGUGAUGAUAGAAUUCAUACAGGUCCCUGCCUCACACCAUUUGGUUUUAUUCACAG
Molecule: long non-coding RNA, 288 nt
Organism: Megalobrama amblycephala (Wuchang bream)
Lineage: Eukaryota; Metazoa; Chordata; Actinopteri; Cypriniformes; Xenocyprididae
Exons: 3
Source: RefSeq, a predicted model, not a curated record